RNAcentral lists this transfer RNA (68 nucleotides) under Certhia himalayana. Its description in RNAcentral is "tRNA-Phe". The record is from RNAcentral. Lineage: Eukaryota; Metazoa; Chordata; Aves; Passeriformes; Certhiidae.
GUCCAUGUAGCUUACACAAAGCAUAACACUGAAGAUGUUAAGACGGCUGCCACCCGCACCCAUGGACA